Molecule: ribosomal RNA, 1890 nt
Filed under: Triticum aestivum (bread wheat)
Lineage: Eukaryota; Viridiplantae; Streptophyta; Magnoliopsida; Poales; Poaceae
Description: partial small subunit ribosomal RNA
Source: RNAcentral
AUGGCCAUGGCAGCCUCUCCUCCUCGCGUCCUCUGCGCCGCCCUCCUCGUCCUCCUCGCGUCGUCCCUCAUCUGGGCUUCUUGCGAGGCAGAGGCGGCGGGAGAUGGCCGGCGGCGGCUCGCCAUGCUGCCGCCGAGAGGGUGGAACUCGUACGACUCCUUCUCCUGGACCAUCGACGAGGCCGCCUUCCUCCACAACGCGCAGAUCAUGGCCGACAGGCUGCUCCCGCACGGAUACCAGUACGCGGUGAUCGACUUCCUGUGGUACCGGAAGAACGCCAACGGCUCCGGGGAGGACUCGUACGGCUUCGACAGCGUCGACCAGUGGGGGCGCCCGUUCCCCGACCCCGAGAGGUUCCCGUCGUCCGCCGGCGGCGAGGGGUUUAAGCACGUCGCCGAUAAGGUCCACGCCAUGGGCCUCAAGUUCGGCAUCCACCUCAUGAAUGGCAUCAGCACCCAGGCCGUCAACGCCAGCACCCCCAUCCUCGACGUCGACACGGGAAAAGCCUACGUAGAGGAUGGCCGGCAAUGGACGGCGAGCGACAUAGGCCUCACCCACAGGACCUGCGCGUGGAUGUCGAACGGGUUCAUGAGCGUAAACACCGACGCGGGGGCCGGGCGAGCGUUCCUCAGGUCUCUUUACCGGCAGUACGCCGAUUGGGGUGUCAAUUUCGUGAAGUUAGAUUGCAUCUUCGGCACAGACUACAGCCCGAAGGAGAUCAUGGCUGUUUCAGAGACCCUGAAAGAGCUUGAGCGGCCGGUCAUCCUGUCCAUCUCCCCCGGAACCGAAGUCACUCCGGCAUUAGCCGAGAACAUCACCCAGCACGUUGACAUGUACAGGAUAACAGGGGACGACUGGGACAGCUGGAAAGAUGUUCGCCCGCAUUUCGAUGUCGCCAGAUCAUUUGCCGAUGCGAAUAAGAUCGGCGCCACCGGAUUGAGAGGGAGGUCUUGGCCUGACUUGGACAUGCUUCCGUUCGGCAGGCUUACUGAUGCAGGUGUUAACCAGGGCCCUCACAGAAGCACUAACCUUACAUUCGACGAGCAAUUAACACAGAUGGUGCUUUGGUCGAUGGCCAAAUCCCCCCUCAUGUAUGGAGGUGACUUGAGGCAUCUCAACGAUGAUACAUUCGAUCUAAUCACCCACCCUACUCUGCUGAAGAUUAAUCACCACACUAAAAACAACAUGGAGUUUGGUUAUAUUCACAGUGAAAGGACUUCAGAACGCAAUGAACAUUCUGGUCGCUCGGACCUGACAAACAAUGGUGGAACUGUUCUUGGUCUUGCUACCUGCAACGAUAAGAACACCGGUGGAUGGCACAGUUCCUCAAAAGAUCACAUUUGCAGAGGCUUUGGAAUCCAGAAUGACAAUGCCUCAUUUUGCAUGUCCAAAGCAAAACUUCUUCCAACAUCGGAUGGAGUUACCAUGAGCGGUGUGGAAGACCAAGCGAAGUUCCAUCUGGUGGGUAUUGACACCAAUGAUGGUUGCUUGGAUGCAUCUGUCAGUCCCAUGUUCUCGACCUGCGAACAGCAUUCAAAGCAGGUCUGGGAGCUAACGGAGAAUGGACAACUUAAAAGCAGCUACUCAGGAUUGUGUGCUACAAUGAAGUCCAGCAAGGAAGGAGAGAGUGAAACUACUGGAGCACGAGCAUGGACAGCAACUGGAGACAAAGGAGAGAUCUACCUGGCCUUCUUCAACCUUGACACUGCGAGCAGGAAGAUUGCUGUAAGGGUGCCGGAUCUAGAGAAGGUUGCAGGGCAAAAGUUGGCAAGGAAACACCUGUGCACCUGCACUGAAGUCUGGAGUGGAAAGAGCCGGAGUCUCAUGAAGGGGGACAUCUCAGAGGUGGUGAGCGCACAUGGCUCCAUACUGUUUGAAAUCCAGUGUUGA